Molecule: ribosomal RNA, 491 nt
Filed under: uncultured Burkholderiales bacterium
Lineage: Bacteria; Pseudomonadati; Pseudomonadota; Betaproteobacteria; Burkholderiales
Description: bacterial SSU rRNA
Rfam family: Bacterial small subunit ribosomal RNA
Source: RNAcentral
GCCCGCUCAGAAACUCAAAUGAAUUGACGGGGACCCGCACAAGCGGUGGAUGAUGUGGAUUAAUUCGAUGCAACGCGAAAAACCUUACCUACCCUUGACAUGUCUGGAACCCUGCUGAAAGGUGGGGGUGCUCGAAAGAGAGCCAGAACACAGGUGCUGCAUGGCUGUCGUCAGCUCGUGUCGUGAGAUGUUGGGUUAAGUCCCGCAACGAGCGCAACCCUUGUCAUUAGUUGCUACGAAAGGGCACUCUAAUGAGACUGCCGGUGACAAGCCGGAGGAAGGUGGGGAUGACGUCAAGUCCUCAUGGCCCUUAUGGGUAGGGCUUCACACGUCAUACAAUGGUCGGUACAGAGGGUAGCCAACCCGCGAGGGGGAGCCAAUCCCAGAAAACCGAUCGUAGUCCGGAUCGCAGUCUGCAACUCGACUGCGUGAAGUCGGAAUCGCUAGUAAUCGCGGAUCAGCAUGUCGCGGUGAAUACGUUCCCGGGUCUU